UAGGGANUCUUCCGCAAUGGACGCAAGUCUGACGGAGCAACGCCGCGUGAGUGAAGAAGGUCUUCGGAUCGUAAAGCUCUGUUGUUAGAGAAGAACAGCGCAUAGAGUAACUGUUAUGCGUGUGACGGUAUCUAACCAGAAAGCCACGGCUAACUACGUGCCAGCAGCCGCGGUAAUACGUAGGUGGCGAGCGUUGUCCGGAUUUAUUGGGCGUAAAGGGAGUGUAGGCGGUCUUUUAAGUCUGAUGUGAAAGCCCACGGCUCAAUCGUGGAGGGUCAUUGGAAACUGGGAGACUUGAGUGCAGAAGAGGAGAGCGGAAUUCCAUGUGUAGCGGUGAAAUGCGUAGAUAUAUGGAGGAACACCAGUGGCGAAGGCGGCUCUCUGGUCUGUAACUGACGCUGAGGCUCGAAAGCGUGGGGAGCAAACAGGAUUAGAUACCCUGGUAGUCCACGCCGUAAACGAUGAGUGCUAAGUGUUGGAGGGGUUCCACCCUUCAGUGCUGGAGUUAACGCAAUAAGCACUCCGCCUGGGGAGUACGGCCGCAAGGCUG
Molecule: ribosomal RNA, 550 nt
Filed under: uncultured bacterium
Lineage: Bacteria
Description: bacterial SSU rRNA
Rfam family: Bacterial small subunit ribosomal RNA
Source: RNAcentral